Phoenix dactylifera (date palm) is the source of this 2032-nucleotide long non-coding RNA. RefSeq lists it as uncharacterized. The record is from RefSeq and is a predicted model, not a curated record. NCBI's taxonomy places the organism in Eukaryota, Viridiplantae, Streptophyta, Magnoliopsida, Arecales, Arecaceae.
GAGAAAAAACUCUGUUCCUCCGUCCCUUCCCAACCUACUCUCGCUCCUUGCCGCCACCCUCGAUGCUAUAAUUGGCCACUGCCGCCUCUGAGAAGCCCACAGCCACAUCCUCAAUCUCAAACUUCACCACAAAAGCUUCUCCUCCUCCUCCUCCUCCUUCCCUUCCUCUGUUCUGCCCCUGCCCCACUCUUGAGAACUUCCUCAUCGCUGCCAUCGAUGUUGCUGCUGGCCCUCAUCGCCUCCAAGGGAUCCACAACUGCCUCCUUUGCAUUCAACUUCAUCAUGCCGCCCUCCUCCUUCACAUCACCUCCUCCUUCUCCACCGCUGCUCGCUCUCUCUACUCCUCCUUCACCUUCUUCGCCUCCUCAAGUGUUAUAGUGCCUCCUGCUCCCUCCCCAUGGCGGCCCAAAUUCGUGCCCAGCCCUCUCCACCAGCAACUGUGACGCCGAUCUCUUCAACCAGAAGACCACUAUCUUCAUGUGUGUCAAACACUCUGGCUUAGUAUCCACUUGCAAGAGUUGCAAGGAGGGAGAUCCAUGCAUGGGGUUCAGCUGCUUAUAUGCAACAAGACUGACUAUAUAUAUAUAUAUAUAUAUAUAUAUAUAUAUAUAUAUAUAUAUAUAUGCAAAGGUGUCGUGAAAAAAAAACCAAUCUCCUGCAGGCACAGGAAUUUCAGCUGCUACGACUGUAGCAACUUGAACACAAGAUGCUGACUUUGUGGGCACUUGAUCCAUUAUAUAUAACAAACCUUCCAGGCUCAAAACUUCAGAUUAAUUCAGAGUUUACAUAAAGAAACAUCAUAGGAUAUGCUGCAUGACACUAUUUAGUUCUCGCUCUCCUCAUCCAAGUUGCAAACACAUAGCGGAUCAUUGCUCGAGUAUGGCUCGCUCUCCAUCAGUCUACGGAAGUAUGAUCUCUUCAAACCAUUUCUUCGAGCCAUGUCGGAACGCACUCUAUCUGCAUACUUGGUUCGCGAACCUGCUAUCACAACUGCUGUCUCAUCUGUUACAAAGUUUGCCAGUGCCACCAUUGCAUCAGGUUCGGUGGCUGAAGAAGCAUCCACCAUGAAAAUAUGAGAGAAAUAGCCAGGGCUGAUGCCAUUGUCUCGAAGCCUGAAACAAGUCAUAAGAGUUGAAACUAUCACUCUGAACUUCUGGAGAACAGAGAGUGGAGGACUGGAGAAGCAUUCGCCAUCAUGCGAGCACAGCGGGAAGACAUCAUCUGGCACAUCUUCAACCUCCCGAAAACUAGCAUUGGCCCGAAACAGAUCCGAAUCUGGGAUUCUUUUGUUCAAGCAACUGAUGAGUGUAUCGCAGGUGUGGUUUUUAGGAGAGCACACCAAUAUGCGGCUGGUAUCCAUGUGGAAGUAAAUUUCGAGGAUUGCUUCUGUAAUGGUAGUGCCAGCUUUGGAGAGAGAAUUAUUCUGUGUUACAGAAGGUGGUCCAUUUAUGAGAUAAGGGGGAGGCCCUUUGAGCCGUAUAAUUUUGUGGAUUGCUGAGAUUUGAUGAACACCAAGGCGUUGAUUCAAAAAAGUUGCAGAUGGUAGAGAGAUCUCUGCGGUUCUUGGGUGGCAACUUGGGAAAAGCACAUGAUGAAACGAAGGAGCUAGUGCAGCUUCCACAGCCUGGUGAGAUCUCUUUAAACAGGUUCUAUUGAAGGAAAACUUAACAUCAUACUUGUAUGAUGGAGAAUACUGUAAGAGAAGAUCAUUUCCAAACUCGGUCAAUACGUGAGUACUCUUUACCACCCCAAUCACUCUUCCCUGGUUCAAAAGUAUGAAAAAUUAUGUCCUUCAAAGGAAUUUUACCUCAAGAAAAAAAAUGAAAUGACCCAAAAAGUUUGAUAUGCUUAUUUUUUUUAUUUUAUUUUACAGCUUGUUUGUCGAUAGAACAUAUCAGGAAUCUAAGACUUGGUUUUGCUUGUUCUAUAAUUUUCUUCUGUUGUCUUGCGGUGAGUAAUCUCCAACGCUCACCAAAAUGAUGGGAUGAAUUUAGUUAUAAUAAAAGAAUUGAGCAUAUGAUGUCAUUGCAUA